RNAcentral lists this ribosomal RNA (413 nucleotides) under uncultured bacterium. RNAcentral describes it as "bacterial SSU rRNA". It matches the Rfam family "Bacterial small subunit ribosomal RNA", at positions 505 to 916 of the family's 1533-position model. The record is from RNAcentral.
GUGUCAGCCGCCGCGGUAAUACGUAGGGGGCGAGCGUUGUCCGGAAUUACUGGGCGUAAAGAGCGUGUAGGCGGGUGCUUAAGUCAGGUGUGAAAGACCGAGGCUCAACCUUGGGGUUGCAUUUGAAACUGCCUGACUUGAGUGCAGGAGAGGGAAGUGGAAUUCCCGGUGUGGCGGUGAAAUGCGUAGAUAUCGGGAGGAACACCAGUGGCGAAGGCGGCUUUCUGGCCUGUAACUGACGCUGAGGCGCGAAAGCUGGGGGAGCGAACAGGAUUAGAUACCCUGGUAGUCCCAGCCGUAAACGAUGGGUACUAGGUGUUGGGGGGUAAAGACCCUUCAGUGCCGAAGCUAACGCGAUAAGCAUCCCACCUGGGGAGUACGGCCGCAAGGUUGAAACUUAAAUGAAUUGGCGG